This 661-nucleotide ribosomal RNA is filed under the name uncultured archaeon. Its description in RNAcentral is "bacterial SSU rRNA". It matches the Rfam family "Archaeal small subunit ribosomal RNA", at positions 102 to 763 of the family's 1478-position model. The record is from RNAcentral.
GGAUAACCUUCCCUUAGGACUGGGAUAACCCUGGGAAACUGGGGCUAAUACCGGAUAGGCAAUUAUUCCUGCAAUGGUUUUUUGUUUAAAUGUUUUUUCGCCUAAGGAUGGGUCUGCGGCCGAUUAGGUAGUUGGUUAGGUAAUGGCUUACCAAGCCGUUGAUCGGUACGGGUUGUGAGAGCAAGAGCCCGGAGAUGGAACCUGAGACAAGGUUCCAGGCCCUACGGGGUGCAGCAGGCGCGAAACCUCCGCAAUGUGAGAAAUCGCGACGGGGGGAUCCCAAGUGCCAUUCUUAACGGGAUGGCUUUUCAUUAGUGUAAAGAGCUUUUGGAAUAAGAGCUGGGCAAGACCGGUGCCAGCCGCCGCGGUAACACCGGCAGCUCUAGUGGUAACAAUUUUUAUUGGGCCUAAAGCGUCCGUAGCCGGUUUAAUAAGUCUCUGGUGAAAUCCUGUAGCUUAACUGUGGGAAUUGCUGGAGAUACUAUUAGACUUGAGACCGGGAGAGGUUAGAGGUACUCCCAGGGUAGAGGUGAAAUUCUGUAAUCCUGGGAGGACCGCCUGUUGCGAAGGCGUCUAACUGGAACGGUUCUGACGGUGAGGGACGAAAGUUAGGGGCGCGAACCGGAUUAGAUACCCGGGUAGUCCUAACUGUAAACGAUGC